Molecule: non-coding RNA, 21375 nt
Organism: Rattus norvegicus (Norway rat)
Lineage: Eukaryota; Metazoa; Chordata; Mammalia; Rodentia; Muridae
Source: RefSeq, a predicted model, not a curated record
GGAACACCGAUAAGAAAGGGGAGGGGGGAGGGGGAUGUUUGCCCGGAAACUGGGAAAGGGAAUAACACUCGAAAUGUAUAUAAGAAAUACUCAAGUUAAUAAUAAAAAAUAAAAAAUUAAAAAAAAAAGUUCCCAAAAGAAUUUAAAGAAAGGGAAAUUUUUUUUUCUCUAUUACAGGCAACUAAAACUUCAAUAACUGAAAGUUGAUUACCAAAUUAUUGACUGAGAUCAAGGGUAAGUGACCCCCUGGGCAGAAAUGAAGUACAAAAGGCAUAUUUAACAUCUAGGCUGGUUCAUAGAAUCAUCAAAAAAAAUCGUUAAAGUAGAUUUCUAGGUAACCGAAAACUGCUGAGGAUCAGGUUGGACCAAGGAAGCUACCAAUAAACUUUCAAUCACUAAGUUUAGUUCUGUCUGCUCUCUGUCUGCUGCCUGCAUAGCUCACUAGACACUGGAAACACCCAUGUUCAGAACAUCUAGAACAAUGCUGGCUGGAGCCAGGUUCAAGGGAGGAUAAAGACCUCUGACCCAGGGAGAGCAGUGAACACCCAGGGAAAAAUAAGGCUUUGACUGAAAACAGCAACACCCACUUUUUUAGAAAUGUAGUUUGUGAUGAUCACGUCCAGGCUCCCUUCCAAUCCCCAAAGAGAAGGUUGGUAAGCAUCAGCUCCAGGGAUCUCACAGGCUGCUGUCCCAAUGCUGCUUUUGUGGCCAUGGGCCUGACAAGCCUACUCCCUAGGGCUGCUCUGGUGACAGGGCUGCUUUUCCUGUGGUCUCAGCUGGAUCCCAGGUAACACAAAGACCAAAACAGUUGAAGCUGAUGGCUCAUCUGCUUAUUUUAAAGCCUGUGACAUACCCUGGUGCAGAUGUCCUGGUGCAAGUAAAACUCCAUUCCAUUCUCAGGUUGUGGCAUAGACACGUGUUUUGGAAAUUCUAGCAGAGCCUUAACACCAAAAAGAAUUAGCUUGCCAUGAUCCUGCUCCUUAAAAGUGAGAACACCUUGCCCUGGGGUGCUCAGAUCUGAAAAGUCUUCACUCGUACAGAGGCUUUAGCUAUUUGUGAUAAAGGGAGGGCUAGUAAAGGCACCAGUCGUUUAGUGGAGCAUGGUGGGCUGUUAGAGUAGGGAUGGAGAGAGAGGGGGGGGGGAGAGGGGGGGGGAGGCAGACAGGGACAGAGACAGAGAGAUAACUGCUUGCUUUUUCUCUCCUCUGGGUAUAAGGCCCAGGAUAAAUUCAGAAGUGAAAUAAGCAAGGAUUAUAUUUGCUGCUGAACAAGCUCAAGGACACUCAGGGACCUUCCAGGGUAGCUAAAACAUUCCUUUGCACAGAACUGGGGGGGCUGUGCUGGCUUCUGGCUCCCAGGCCAAGUUAAAGUGACCUUUAGACCCUGAUGAGCUUAGGAUACUCUGCAAAGCCAGAACUACAUGUAUAAUGGCAUCCUCCCCUAGAUGGGUCCUUCAUUCAGAGAACCGUAAGCACUGGUCUGUCUGGUCAGCAGAGACUGGGAGGUGGGGGAGGAGGAGGGAUGGUGUUUAGUCCUCAGCCCCGUUCUACCUUCUUCCUUUUCUGAGGACUCUUUCAGCAGCCUCAGUGUUGGCAGCAGGAAGGAAUUAGGGAACCAAACAUAAUCUUCAUGGCGAUUCCGAGGUCACAAUGACAGGCACUCACUCACACCCGGCCUGUGUUCACAAUACGCUUACCCUCCAUGAACCUCACAAGGAUCUGUAAAGAACGAAGGUGGAUAGAAGGGUCUUGUACAAAAUGUGAAGAGGGACUAACAAAACAGUUAACCACAUGUGUGCUGUUAGCCUGCGGGGCACAGAUAAGAACCAAUGUCCAACCCGGUGUCCAACCCUGGACAACUUAUCUGACAUCCUUGACCUUGGCCUCCCCACCUGGGGAAUGGAGAUAAUCACAAGAUCCCUCACAGGCUACAAACACUCCCACCUUGCAUAACUGGAAAAAGGACAAUGCCGUGCUGGGAGAGGGAGAGCUCAUCUGUCCUGGGGCUUUGGAGUUGGGCGGGGGAAGACUAUCUGUUUCUGGGUUUUUUGCGGGGAAGUGGGUUUCUGCAAUUCCUAAAACCAGUAAAGAAGCUCUGAGUACCUAGCCCUGAGCAAGUCCACUCAGCCCUUCCUGCACUGGGCUCCUCUUGAGCAGAUAGGAUGACAUAGCUGCCUCCAGGAUUACUAACAGGUUUAGUACAAUGAUCACUGCAGACACCACAACCAGGGUCCAAGCAAAGCAGUAUUCUCAAGACAGCGGAAAGGGAAAGAAGAGGUAUAUGGUUUUUUGUUUGUUAGUUUGUUUGAUAAAGUCAUUGACAUUGAUGCCUCAAGUGGAACUCAUUGGCAUUUCAGAUGCUCUUACAAUGAUUCAUUUUUUGGACACAAUGUUUUUUUUUUUGUGUUGUUUUGUUUUUAAAUCUGGCUUUGUGCAGAGUUUGUUAAAUUUUAAAAGGCUUCUACAUCUUUAAUUCUGUUGAGACUAAAGGAGGUGAUGUUGCCAGUAGAGAUGAAUGUUAGGUCGUUAGAGUGAUUUGUGUCCUGGCUGAGUGUGCCCCAUUGUAAAGGGAACCCUUUGGAAACCCUGACAGUCGCACCCACAGCCAGCUUGCUGCAUGCUAAGAUGCUGCUCCCUCGGGUUCAGCACUAUUGACUUGAAGAUCAUUUUUACAGCUGGGUCAUUAAUCUUCAUUGGCGUCUUUGUGUGUUAGGUGGUCAGAGGAGCACAGAUCCCACACUCAGCCUUAAUGGGCACCUGCUGGCGCAUUCUGUGUGUUUGGACGCUAGGGUUCUGGCAGCUGUCUCUCCUGGCUGGUAAUUAUUUUCCUGUUUGUCUUUCUGCUUAAGCAGCCACUCUCUUUGUCUCCUGCCAGGAUCAUACUCACGGACAAUCCUCUCCAGCUCCAGAAAAUCCUGCCAUGUCAAGCCAUGCUCUUCCUAGAGACAAAGCUGACCCACGCCACUACCCAGGGGACCCCGGAGGGACAUGGGAGGAAAAAGCAACAAAGCAAACAGACUUUAAGGGGUUUUGCUCCAUUCUAAAGGGGCCAUUUGGUGACUAAACCUUUGCACACUUUCUGAAAAAGAGAGUUUUAGAAAUAAUUUAAUUGUGUAAUAAAUCACUUAAUGAGCAUAACAAACCACUCCUCUGUGUGAAUUUUUCUGCCAGUGUACACAAACUGCAGGUGUGGCAAAAACCUGGCCAAGCCCCUCCUGUCCUCUGGGUUGAGAUGAUGUUGGCCAUGGAACAAACCACUCUCCACGUGAGGCAAAGAGGACCCCAGACCCAAGCGCCAAGGAACUCUGUUUCUGUAAACACCGCGCUCUCUUUAAACAAUAACCCGUAUUAAAAAUGAGUCAGUAAAACCUUAGCAGUGACCCUUGAUUAGAUUUUUGACCCAGUUAUCCUAACAGAUAUCCCCAGUGAAUUCUCAUUUUAGUGUGUUGAACCUCUUAUGCUGCUUUAGUGGCCACAAAGAUCGGAAAGCCGAGGUGCGAACUGCACAGGGGAGUGAGUACACGCAAAGGAGCCCUGUGGCUAGAACAGGCUGACGCCGACCCACUGGAGUGCUUGUGCUUGUCACUUCCUGAUUUGAACCUUGGUGCUGAAUCCCAAGCGCUUGGUUCAGAAAACAUCCAGACUGAGCUCUAAUGUCCAGAAAGGAACAAUAGCUCUGUGUUUAUCCUUAAUGCUGAGGGAAGACAAACGAGGGGUGCUAACACAAAACUUCUAACUUAGCACAUGACCUACCUGCACAAGAAUAUGGCUCAGAGUCUUUUUUUUCUUUUUCUUUAUUGGAUAUAUUUCUCUAUUUACAUUUCAAAUGUUAUUCCCUUUCCUGGUUUCCUGUCCAUAAGCCCUCUAUCCCCUUCUCUUCCCCCAUAAGGGUGUUCCCCCCAUUCAUUCCCCCUUACUCUCCCCCCCCCAUGGCAUUCCCCUGCACUGGGGGUCCAACCUUGGCAGGAAUAAGGCCUUCUCCUUCCACUGGUGCCCCAACAAGGCUAUUCUCUGCUACAUAUGAAGUUCGGAGCCCUGGGUCAGUCCAUGUAUAGUCUUUGGGUAGUGGUUUAGUCCCUGGAAGCUCUGGUUGGUUGGCAUUGUUGUUCUUAUGGGGUUGCAAGCUCCUUCAAUUCUUUCAGUCCUUCCUCUAAUCCCUCCCAAAGGGGGUCCUGUUCUCAGUUCAGUGGUUUACUGCUGGCAUUCACCUCUGUAUUUGACAUGUUCUGGUUGUGUCUCUCAGGAGAGAUCUAUAUCCGGUUCCUGUCAGCCUGCACUUCUUAGCUUCAUCCAUCUUAUCUACUUUUGGUGGCUGUAUAUAUAUGGGCCACACAUGGGGCAGGCUCUGAGUGGCCGUUCCUUCAGUCUCUGCUCUAAACUUUCCCUCCCUAUCCCCUCCUAUAGAUAUUUUUGUUCCCCCUCUUAAGAAGGAGUGGAAGCAUCUGCAUUUUGGUCAUCCUUCUUCUUGAUAGCUCAGAGUCUUACGUGAUGAUUUUAUUCGGGCAUAUGUAUGGGGGGUUUCACAUGUUCAAGCUCUGGGGUAUGCAUAUAGCAUGUACUAGUGUACCCACACAUGUACAUAUAUGUGUGCAUGCAUGCAGAGGCCCACGGUUAACAUCCGUUACCUACCCUGAUUACUCUCCAUGCUACUGAGGCAGAGUCCCUGGCUGCACUGGAGCUAACCAACUCUGGAAAGCCUAGCUAACCAUCCAGUCUGCCCUGGAGAUCUCCUGUAUGUGCCUGCCAAGCGUUGGAUUACAGGCAGCCACCAUACCUGCUGCUUUUCCGUGGCUCCUGGGGAUCCAAACUCUAGCCCUUAUGCUUUAUCCCCAGAAACAGCUCCUUAGGCUCCUGCUUGGUCUUCAUAAAGAAAGGUCUAUCAAUUGCUCUGCCAAGGCCAAGUAUCUAACCUCAAACCUUCUUUUUUUUCCCCUUCAGAAUAAAAGGGGGUUCUGUUUGGCUUAUUCACCAGGGUGGCUAGACUGGAUCAGUCUCCAAACUCAGAUUACCUUCAGGCUGAGAGUGGGGCGGCAGGCACCCAGCCCUGGGUUUCUUCCCCAGAAGAAAAUGACAGGGUAGCUGAAAGCAAGGUGGAGGUUGUGGCUCUCACAUCUCCACAUCUCAGCCUCAACAUUCCAAUCGUGCACCACAGGUAAGAAAGCUUGUGGACGGCGUGGGUCUAGCCUUCAUUUGGAUAUGGGAAUAAGUGUAGAAAUACAAGAGCAUUCCAAGGCAGGGGCCAGGCAUGCACUGACAAAGGUGCCAUCUCUCUAAUCGACAGCAAGCAGAAGCAUAGAGAACGGCCAGCACCUGACCCUUCUGCCACUGAACUCCAUAACUGCCCUGGCUGGGCCUCCAUAAACACACAGAACUGUCUGAGGAUAAGCGAGCGAGAGAGGAGAAGGUCUUCAUGUUUUAAACUGAGGGCUCCUGGUGUGCUCUGGACGGAGAUGGCAUGUGCAUCUCCACCGUACCUCACCAACAUACCAGGCCUUCACCAUACCAGCACCAACAUACCCUACAUAUCCAAGGCUCAACAAGUGGGCCGUGUAACUGCAGUCAGGGAGCCUCAUGGCAUUGGGGGUUCUUCAGGUCGACCCCUAGGGUCUCAUGUACAUAGCAAGUGCUAUAGCACUGAGAGAUGUCCCCAGCUGCACAGUGGUUUUAAAGCAAUACAUUUAUUUUUUUCUUACUAUAUCUACAAUGAAGACUUUUCAAAGGAGCACUCUGUCAGUAUAUAGGGUGUAGGUGCCCACCAUUUUCCACUUGGGCUUUGGACAGAAACACAUUAAGAAUGUUCUUCUUGUUGGCUGCUGCUGCUGCAUUUUCUGAACUGUGCGUUUUGUUAUCAGUAACAUUUCUGGUCUGUUCAGUGGACCAUUUAAAGCAAAGGUCAGCACUUUUGAGUGACUACAUAAGACUGUUUGCAGAAGUGGCAAAUGACUGUAUUUUCAAGUUCUCUCCUUUAAUUUCUACUGACUUCCAGUGAUACCAAGACCGCCACACUCAAUGUCUUUUCCACAGGAGGACCUAAUACCUACAGGUGUUACACAGCCAAGGUGCACCCUGGAAGGUGACCUUCUCCAGAAGGAAAAGGAAGAGGAGGCUUCUGAAGGAAGCCACAGGAGGACUCACAGCUUUUCAGCAUUUGUAGACAUCUGAGGUUUCAUAACUCUAUACGCUGAUGCCCUAAUCAUGAUGGUGUCACCUUCACCCUAUAGCACAUGACUAGAGCUGUCUUACAUGUUUCCAGAGGACAUAUGCCUGACUAGUGUUCGUGAGGACAAUAACUGUUACUAAGGGACAGACAAGGCUUUGGGUAGAAUCCAGAAAAAAGGCCUGAGGGAUACAGAACUAUACAAUAUUUUGUUUUUUAAAAAAAAGAAAGAGAGAAAGAACUCAGACCUUUGCAAUGUUUGUAAAAAGGAUCCUAGAAAAAGCAAUGACUGCAUGAGUAUGUGAUGAUAUUUUUCUUUCUUAAGUUUUAUUCUUACAGCACCAUACAGUAUAGAUAACAGCCACCACCUUUUGUGGCAUUAACCUUCAAUUGUACUAUUUUACCACAAUCCCUCUCCAAUAACCCACCUCACUUCCCACAGCCCCUGCUGCUGUGUGUACUCUGUCUCUAUAAAUGUGUCACUUGUCUCUCUGUGUCUGACCUACUUCCUUACCACAGUAUCUUCAAGGGUGAUCUCUGUUGUAAUGUCUGGCACUACAAGGUCACAUCCUAGGAUUCUAGAAUCAGGUGGAAUUCCAAAGCUCCAGGACAAUGCACACUCAGGGAUGACAUCUCCAGGCAGCCGAGAUGGAAGCCAGGAGCAUGGCACAAUACAAAAUCGGAGGCUUCCUUAAAAUAGUAAGAGCUAUGCUUUUUUGUUUUGUUUUGUUUUGUUUUGUUUUGCUGUUUUGUAAGCUGAUUGUGCCAUUCUUUUUUUUUUCUUUUCCUAAAGAUUUAUCUUAUUAUUUAUAUGUAGGUGCAUGCAUCUGUGUAUGUGUUUGUGCACAUGGGUGCAAGUGUCCUAGGAGGCCAGGAGAGGGUAUUAGAUUCUCUGGUACUGGAAUUAUGUGGCUGUGAGCAACUGGACACAGGUGCUUGAAAUGAAACUAAGGUCUUCCGGAAGAGUAACAUGCACUCUGAAUCACUGAGCCAUUGCUCUAACCCCGUGAUUUGGUUUUUGGAACAGAGUCUUGCCCUGUAGCCCAGGCUGGCCUGGAACUCUUAGCAAUUCUCUUCCCUCAGCCUCUUUUUUUUUAAAUUGGAUAUUUUUUAAUUUACAUUUCUAAUGUUAUACCCUUUUCCUGGUUUCCUAUCCCCUAUCCCAUUCCCCCCUCCCCCAGCUUCUAUGAGCGUGUUCUCCCACCCAUCCACCCCUUCCUACCUCCCCACCUCUCUACCCUGACAUUCCCUUACACUGGGGCAUCGAGCCUUGGCAAGUCCAAGGGCUUCUCCUCCCACUUGUGCGGUUCUCGAAGGCAAACUAUCAAAAUGUCAAAAGGCUGGACCCACCCGCAGGAGAUGGUGUUAAACGAAAUAAAAGGGAUUCGUGUUUUACAAAGAGGCAGUAAACUCUAAGAAAUUUCUACCCCCAGAAGAUAAUAAAAGGCUAAACAGGCGAGUCCUCACUAAAAUUGGGUGGACUCCUAGCAAACAGACCCAUAAGAGGCUAUUCGCUGAGAGGAAACUGAACACACCAUGCUAGCCUGCUUUGAGGUAACGAUGGUAAACAACUCAUUCGUGUGCUCUGUAUGGCGCUUUGCUCACCUGAGACCCGCAUGGUCACAGGGUGGGACUUCUUCCUUGGCUGAGAGCCUGGCUACCAUGUCCACACCUUCGAGGCUUAGAGACUGACUGGAUGUUUCAGGCGGGAGUGAACCACAUCAAAGGCACAGCUCACUGGCACAUCAGAAGGCCAGGCACCGAGGCAAUGUCCAAGCAACACCUCAAAGACACCAGCCUGGAAGGUCUGAGUCAGCUGUGCAAUCAGUAGUGUGGAGCCCUGGGUGAUCCUGGGUUCAGUCUUAGGUAGCUAGGAUGUUGAGGCAUCUAAGACAAUAACCGUCUCCUAGGGGAAUCUGGAUGUGCCUCAAGUUGGGACUGGUUAUCUAGUCCUGCAGAGCAUCAAAAGCUUUAGUUCAAAGAUUCUAUGGAAUCACUCAGGUAACCUUCGUGGGCUGGGCUAGGGAGAGAGACAGCCUGCAGGAGUAGGAAUGUCACUUUUCUUCUCUAGCGUCUAUCUGAACGAUAAGCUCAGAAGGGACCUUUCUAUCCUAUUCCACCUGCUUGUGAUCCUGGAGGGAGCACCGUGUUACUCUUCCCUUCCUCAUUCCGUAAUGCCCAGAGCAGAAUGUCCUGAACAGGUAGAACCCAUGCAGAGGAAAGUCGUUCUACCUGGGCACAGCCCGUGUUCAGCGUGCUCUGUUCCAUACCUCUGCUGAUGUCCAACUGCUUUGGUUUAGAGAACUUCAAAGGAAUUCGGAGCCUUGAGCAGAACUGUGCCCAGAUGCCCUGGGGGGCAAUGAGAACUUCACAAGAGGUGAUUUGGUAGAUAUGGAACUGCCUGCUGCCUCCAAAAGGAGCCUGGGUAGAGCCUCUGGAGUUCUUAUUUUAUAUGAUGCACAAGACAGCAACAGGAGCGCUCUUCCCAAACAACUCAAUGGGUGGCCGAAGACGAGAGAGUGUUCUGCAGCAAGGAUAGCAGGAUCCUAAGAAUGGGGUCGGUCAGAAGAUCACCUGAGUGUAGAGGAAGACUACUGCACUUUCCAGCUCCAUUGCAGCUUCUUGGGCUGCAGACCGGCUCAUUGGAGAAGCAGCCAUCUGUCUCAGGCACAGCUCAGAAACCGGAGAGCUCAAAGGCGACCUUCGAUUUCCUCCAUUCCUGAUCACAAAUGAGAGCCAUCCCAUCUAGGCACAGGUUGUGGCUUACGGACGUGCCCUCUCUGCCUUUUGUUUAAUAGUGGCAGAGGGCCUUCCUGGUUCAGGACUCUAACACAUGCCUUGGACUUCGAGGGUUUUUCCUGUUUGAGUCUGAAAGCUGUACCCCUUGACUUCCUAACUCCGUUCUGAUGUAGAUCAAGCUCUCUGUCUUUACCUCAGACAGCUGUGUUUCUGGAAGCUUCUUCCAGGGAACACAGGAGCCAUAGUGUUCGGAACCAAUUUUCUCCUUAAAAAAACUUCCCCCAGGAGGGGAAAAUUCUCACCCAUCUACAUAUUAUUGAUUUCUUCAUGAAGUUCUACUCCUGUUUACCUAAGUGGGCGAGGGGGGAAGGAGAAUGGAAGGCAGCCAAUAAAGAAAGCCUUUGUCUGAAACUCAAAUUUCAAAGACUUUACAAGUUAUCUGACCACUUAGCAUCCAGAUUAAUGGUACUGAUAAAAACAUGUCUCUCAGUGACUCCACUGUUACCUUGGGAACGGAUAGAAACAGAUAGAUCAUAGGUGCUGAUCUAUGUCUUUACUUAAUUAGCAGACAUGGAAGAGUUCAGCUCAGAUGAGGAGGCAAGUCUAAGGCUUCUUUUCCCAUCUCCUUGUACCCGAAACUCCACUGUACCUAGGGGUGAGGCCGUCAUUGCUUUUUUGAGACAGGGUCUCUCUACUUAGCCUUACCUGUCCUAGAACACAUUAAGUACACCAAGAUGGUCUUGACCACAGAGACCCAAUGUCUAUGCCUCCUGGGUGCUGGGAUUAAAGGCCUAUGCCAGGAAGCAUGGCUGUCUGGUUCACUGCAAACACUAAGAGUGGUUGUGAAGAGAAGACAGUGCAAAGAAAACCAGAAGGGAGAUGGUUAUUUUAAAAGUUUAAAGUCUGUCACACAAAUGUCUAGGAAUACUAUUCCCAGCUGGGCCUGUUGGUAUUCUCCUGUAGUUCCAGAAUUUGGGAUUGCAGAAGCGGGAAGAUUGGGAGUUUAAAAUCAUUGAUAUAGCAAACUCGGAGUUAUCUAGGGCUACAUAAUCCUGUCUUAAAAACAAAACAACACACACACACACACACACACACACACACACACACACACACGCAAAUCACUCCUAUGAGUCAGGUGUGUAAGACAGCAUUUCUAACUGUGUGUGAAUUUCCCAUCACGCUAUAUAGAGAAGAAAGGAAGCAGAGAUGUCUACAGCACACGUCUCAGGCACGGGCAGAGAGCAGCGACCAGUGCAGAAUGGGCUGAGACACAAGGACCUGGGGGCUUACCUAAUAAUAACUCAGUUGCAUGUAAUUUCUAGUCCCUCAACUUUUAAAAGGAUUUCUUCCUCCCUCCUUCUCUCUUUCUCUCUCCCUCCUUUCCUCCCUCUGGUUCUUCCUUGCUGGAAAAUGAGCCUCGAGCCUAUGCACUUUACUGCUGGGUAAUAUCUGCAGCCUUUCUAUUGUUUCUUGCAUAGGUCAAGGGAUGAUAACCCCAGAGUAAAUAGAAAUGCUUAGGUAGUCAACCGAUACUGUUUUUGGUUAUUUCUACCAAAAACAUAUCAUCGGACACCAAUUACUAGUACAAAGCAACAUACACACACACACACACACACACACACACACACACACACACACACACACACAGUCCUGACACCUAAUGAGAAGGGAAGCCCUGGGCUCUGGCUGUGGUCUUACAGGCUGUCUUAUGAUCCACCCAUUUUCAUCAGCACUGUGCAGUUCACCAGGACGAGGAAGAAGCCAAUUACCAUUCAAGGCAGAGCUCCCAUCACACUGAGGGAAAGAAGCAAGCCCCCAAGUGAAUGAAUAGGUGGCUAGUAACAGAAAUCGUGGGGAAGGUGAGAAAAGAAAAGGCCCUGGCUGGUUCUGACAAAGACUCCUUUGUAGUGGAGGCCAGUGAUGUGCUGUUCAUGCAGGGCUGCAGAAGAAAGGAACUACCCUUGGGUCCUUAGGGACCGCCACCUACAGCAAAGGCAAAGAGCACACUCACAGAGUCACAAGGUGAACACAGAUGAGACAAAGGCAGGCAGAGGCUUCCUGGGUCCUCCUGCCAUCUGGCUCAGAGCAGGUCUGUUCCUUCAGAUCCUAACAACUGCUGUGGGCGUGGUGGGGAGUCACAAGCUGCCGCUGCCCAGGCUCCCAAAGCCUUGGGGCUGGAAGAGUCUGCUUGCUCUGGAGCCCAUCUCCCUGACAAUCUUAGGAUAAAGAGAUUUUUCUCCUACUCAAUAUGGAAGGAACAUAUGCUUUCAGACAGCCACCAUUCACUACAAGACUCUAGGAAAUCGACAGUAGAAAACCCAGUAAGGGUUUUUAUUCAGUUUUUCGGUUUAUCGCUGGUUCUAGAAAGGAGAAAAUCUUCAUCACUUAUUGCACCUUUCUGCAAUAAGCUGUAAUAGUUACCAAGACCAGACUGCUGUGUUAUGGAGAAGACUGAGUUACAAAUGACUUUCAGUCCGUUGAAAGAUGGCUGGUUACAUUUACUCCCUCCUCCUGCCUCUCCACAAACCCCCACAUCAUGGAACCGGAGAAAGAGAAACAAAGGUGUUCUCUUUCAUGCCUCUGUGAUGUCUACUCCCAGGAAAGACUGCAGCACACACAUAAGAUUAUUCCUCAUUGUGGGAAACCACAAACAUAGGCAACUCUGUGGAAUUCAGAGCCGCUGUAAGGCUGGCCCACUGCCCUGUCUCCUGGAAGGUUACAGGAUCAGUUCAGAAGUCUCACUAUCACCUUCAGGGCAAACCCAUGCUUCCCUUUCUAAGGUCUGUUUUAUACCCCACUCCUUGUUUAACAUAAUCUAGCCUAUUUCAACCAAGUGUAUAAAUAUUUUAGUUCAGGCUAAUGGCGACCUCAAAAGAAAACCACCAAAAUGCUGCCAAGGUUGUGUAACCAACGACUUAAUAAUCUCGGUAAGGAAACAUUUGCUCUUAAAACAGUAUGAGGCAGGGAGAAGAGCUUCCGUUUACAAAACAGAGCUGUAGAUUUAAACAUACCACACUUACUUCUGCCCCUCCCCCCCAGACUUGCACCUGCACCCUAGUGGCAACUUAGCAUAUUAGAUUUCUGCUCUGUCUGAUCGAUGGGCACACAGGUGAGUCCCAGAUACAUUUCUCUUUCAUUGCCUCCUUGGAAGCUGGGGGAGGGAGGGUGCUCUGGUUCUAUUUCUGACCGCCCUCUUUCUCUUUGUGCAAUAGUGAGAAAAUAGAAUCCUCACACUAAGAGGUUUUUGUCCCUUCUGUGUCACCCACACACAGACUGUCCCCAUGAAGACCACUGCUCACGUUGCCUGCACAGAAAAUGACUGCCAUUUAUUUAUUAAGGCGCACACUAGAUACAGGAGAGGGAAGCUCCAGGAAGGGCUUCUGUUUGUGAGCCUUACAUCCAUCACCACCUCCUACCUGGCUUCCCUGCAAUGGACCCUCUGGGAUUAAAAUCUGUGCAGACUCUGAACUUCCCUCAAGAGAAACUGCCUCAGAAAACACAUGCUUUACCUCACUGGAAAAACCUUCUCGCCGAACACAAUAAUAAAAUUGUAUUCAAACCAAGUACGGUGUCCACAUUUGUGAUCAGCAACCUCAGAAGGCUGGGGCAAACUUGAGGUCAACCUGGGCUACACCGUUAGACCCUGUGUGCUGUGUGCAUGUUGCAGAACGGCUGCAUAAAGCAGCCGGUUUCAGCGGACAUUAGAAGCAGAUGCCAGACCUACAUACAAGUCCCGGCCAUCCUUCCCUGCUCAAAGUAUCCUCGGCUUUCCUGAUGUACACCCUGAGCUUACCAUGCACACCGGGGUUACCAGGGUGUGUCUGUGUGUUUGUUUAGGGAAACAUCUGACAAGUUUGGCUCACUGACCCUUCAUUCAUAGAGAAGAAUGGGCUCUGUGUGACAGAGAUGUGUCUACACUAUCUCACUAUCCUACACUGUCUACACUAUCCUCAGUGAGAUCACACUGGUCCCAGACACUUCCACGGUUUCCUUCACUCUAACUUAUGCAAGCCCACCUGAAGUUCCUACUGUGUGCAGAAUUCUAUAAGAGAAGACCUCUACAGACAAGGAGAGUGCAGACGACAUCACACAGCAGCCCUGCCCUAGGGCAUCAUGGGAAGAUGGAGGAGGAACAGUGCAAAACAGUCCCUAUAACCCGGAGGCACGGCUGCUCUUCUCAGAAGGUUGGGGUGGAAUCAAUGGACUCCUCUGCCUCCUCUGGGGCUGGCUGCUGAGGAGAGGGAAGGAAUUCAUCACAGCAGCAACCAGGGCAACUCAAUCUGAAACUAAUGAAUGCCUGGCAGGAAAAAAAAAAAACCUUUAAACAGACUUGACUUAUGAAAACGUGCUGAAAAGCAGGGGACUGCGCUGUGUGCCAGAAGGAACUGGCAAUUAAAGUCCAGAGAGCCCGCAUCACUUUUUUUUUUCACACUACGAUUACAUUUUAAGAAAGUGGUACAUACGCUGCGUAUGAGAGGGAACUGUGCCCACGUUAGCCUAGGAGAGGAUGAAGAAGGGGCAGAGAGAGAUGGGGCACAAGUCAGAGUCGUGCUUAGGAAUGUUAAGGACAGGUGGGGGAGGGGCGGAGCCUGCAAUGAUGCUACUUGGUUCUUGGGGCAACUCAGGCCUUAAUGGUGACCUGGAGCAGCCCUCUCCUCCUUCAUCAUGAUUUUCCAUGAUCCCAAAAAAGGGAAGGAAGGGGGCUUAGGCACCAAGAGCAUGGGAGGCUAGCUUGCAGAGAAGGCUAUCAGCAACCUGAGAUCACUGACUCAGGUCUCUGUAUCAUCGCACUGGUCAGCAGACUCCACAGUCCUGGAGGGCCCCUGUUGGGAGCAUCAUGCAGGGUGAAGGUACUCUUGUCUUAGAGGGAAAUUCAGACAGGUACGUGCAACACAGACAUAUGCAAGCACACAGCUCUACCCCUAGGCAGGCCAUUGAGAAUGUACUUUGCAAACUGGAAGUGGUCUACACAGAAGAAGUGUGUGCCCAGCAAGGAAGUACAAUGCACACUUUGUCACAUACUGAAAUAAUGCCCUAGGGAUGGUGGCACACACCUGUAAGCCCCCCACACUUGCUCAUUAUGGAGCUCAUUGUGAGGAGGAUCAUUGUGAGCUCAAAGUCAUCCUGGGCUACAGAGCACAUCUGAGGAUAGCCAGACUACAUGAGACCGUCUCAGCCAAACACAACAAUGAGACAAAGACUGUCUAUCCCUUCUGAAAUUAAAGUGGCAAAGCAGUGAGCAGUAAGCAUUUGCUUUUGUUUUUGUUUGUUUGCUUGUUUGUUGUUUUCUUCUUGAGACAGGCUGUUGGGUCUCUAUCUCUGACUGGCCCGGAGCUCACUGUGAAGUCCAAGUUGCCCUCAAACUUGCAAUUCUCAUCUUCAGCCUUUUGUGUGCUGGGAUUAUAGGAGUGAGUUAACACACCCGUACUUGUUUUCUGUGCCUGCAACUGAAAACUUAUAUAUGUUUUUCCACUGUAGGUGACAUGAUUGAUUUUACAUAUAUAUGACAUCAUACAUUACAUUUGAUAUCAUAUAUAUCAUGUAUAAGAAUUCCUCUUAUUAAUGGAUAUGGUCUAAUUAUAGAAAAUGUUUCCUUCUGUCCAGCUUCCUAGUGUGUAAUGAAUCUAGCUACAGGUGAUGCUUUCUGCAUUAUUUUUGCAAGGAAAGGGACAGGUGAGCUUAAGUCAAAGGUCACAAGCAGGUCAUUUUACAUUUACUCUCAGUAAAAACACAGCAAUAACAUAAUAAGAAUAGACCCCCAGUGCCCCCUGAGGACUAACUGAGGAAGAGGAAAUGUGAGAGGGACACGGGCCUGGAAGUCUGCCGGUUGUGUAGGAUAGGACUAGGUCACAGAGCGGGGAACGUGACUGUCAAUGUCUAGGUAGCUACUGACAGGGGUCACGAGAACAAACAUGUCUCUAAGAAAUGAGAUUCAUUUUCAGUGUUAAAACAUCUUGAAUGGAAGGCUGGAGACCACUUAGCGUAAGAGCACUCGUCACUCUUCCAGGGGUCCUGGCUUCUGUCGCAGCCUCCACUGGUGACUUAUGGCCAUCCAUUAGCUCCAGUUCCAGGGGAUCGGAGGCCCCCUUCUGACCUCCGUGGGCAUAAAGCACACACGUGGUUUACAUACAUAUACUCUCACUAUAUAUACAUAUAUAUAUGUAUAUAUAUGUUUUUUUUUUUAAGAAACUUGAACCCUUCAUUGUGACCCCAGCAGCAGGAAAGAUGCUGUUCCAAAAGCUGGCUGUGUUACAGGCAGUGAGUUAUAAACCCUCUAACCGCCCUACCCCAGCAACCUAAGCAUGAUGCCCCCAGGGGAGCUGUUUUGCAACUUUGUGCAGAGGCCAUACUCCUCCCAGGCUCCCAAUCAGUCCCACCCCCAUCCCUCCUGGGAGGUCCAUUUCCCAGCAUCCUCCAGGCUUCCCAGCCUGGUGGACCUGUCCCCUGGGAGGCUGCCUCCCACUCACUUCAGUAAGAGGUAAAGUGAGUACGUGUAUGUGUGUAUGUUUUAAAAUGAUCAUUGUCACAACUGUGAGUUCCAUGCAUCCGGAGGGCAUUCUGAUUUUAAAUUAAUGCUACCUCUAUGAGCCCAGGCACCAACUGGUUCCCCAGACUCCAUCACCCUCCUCAUAUGAUAAUCAAACUAGUUGUUCAGGUUCAGAAGAACAAGACAAACUUUUUUCCUUCUGUAAUACUACUUGCUUCUAGGCCGACUCCUUUGAUGGUGGGGCUUUCUGCUGCUGCUCACGGCACGUUUUGUUGUUGUCACAGGGUCUCACUGUAUACCCUAGGCUGGCCGAUCACGUUUGAUCCUUGCCUGUCAGCCUCCUCGGUGCUGGGAUCAAUCAUAAGCAAGUGCUACCAUGCCAAGCUGGGCUUUAACAGUCAGAACACACAACCACGGCAGAGUGGCUUAGAAACCAAGUCACACAGCUAGGCAUGAUGGCAGACACCUUUAAUCCCAGGUGGAGCUCCGUGAGCUCCACAGUAAGACCUUGUUUCAAAGAAAAAAGAAAGAAGCCGGGGUGGGGGUGGGGGCGGUGUUCUGUAUGACUUUUAUGAUUGCAACCAGACCAUAAGGUGCAAAUAAUACAGACAAAUAAAUAUGGAAGGGUAGCCGCGGAGGCUGGCCCACCAGCGGCUGUUUACACAAGCAUCUAGGCUGCAGAAGGACAGAUAAGUAGCUAUACUGACUUAAUUCCAGAUGGUAUCUCCCUGCUGUCGCCAGGCUCUAAAGUCCUAAUACAGCCCAAUACCAAAUAAUCACAAACAGUUACACAUCUUCCAUAUCAUUUGUUCAUGAAGGCAUCCAUGGCUGGAAACUGAGUGCAUCCUGGGAAAGCAAUUUUACAGUUUAAAGGAAUAAAUGAAUAUUCAUAGCAUUUGCACUUAGGGGGAAAAAGAACUCUAAAAAGACCCCAUUUACAUUUAUGAAGAAUGUAGUGGAGUGCUUGAGUGCUUGUGUGCAUGAGAGAGAGGGGGAGGGAGAUAGUGGAGAGGGAGAAGGAGAGGGAGAGCUAUCAAGAUCUAGAUACUAAGUGUGUCUUUACAGCAUCAAUCAUUCAUCUAUAAUUUGUAUUCCUUUAGUCAAUUAACAAAAUAUUUUCAAAAUCUAUUAAUUAAUUAAUAAUGGCUAGCAUAGAACAACCCUUUUACAAGUCCUAUUUAAUUGUGUGUGUGUGUAUUGUGUGUCUGUGUGUCUGUAUGGAUGUGUGUGUGUGUCUGUGUGUCUGUAUGUGUGUGUGUGUGUCUGUGUGUCUGUAUAUGUAUGUGUGUGUGUGUGUGUGUGUCUGUAUAUGUAUGUGUGUGUGUGUGUGUGUGUAGGUCAAAGCUUAACUUUCUAGUGUUAGUUCUCUCCCUGCACCAUGGGGCUCCAAAAAUCAAAUUUGGGCCAUCUGGUUGGUAGCAAGUGACUACACAGAGCUGUCACCAGCCCUAGAACAGAACUCUUCAUCCUCACUUAGCUCUCUUUAAAUUCAGUGGCCCAAUCAGCCAUCCUGUCCAAGGCAGAGCCAUGGUCAAGUCCAUCUGAAGCUGGCUCCUGGCUUCUCCUCCAGUCUCCUCCGCCACUCUGAUCCCAAUAAGGUCACAGCCACCUAGCUGGGUGAUAACCAUAGUGGCUUCCUGAUUGGUUCCCUUCACUCAUCAGCUACACAGAAACCAAAAUGAUAUGUCAAAUAAGCAUGUCCAAACACACUGAACCCUUACUAAGAAUGCUUUUUGUUCCAUACCGUGCAGGACAAAGGUCAGACUCUUGGGUCAAGUCCACACUCCUGCCCUCACUAGUCCAGCCAUGAUUCCUCAGCCAUCCUCACUUCCUGCAGGCCCAGCUCCAAAUUCAGUAGACACGUGUCAUUCUUCAACUGGAAUGUCGCCUUCCAGAAGAGUUUCCAUACUCUUCAGGUCUCGGCAUGAACAGAAGGCCUCCUUGCCUCUGAAGAUGGAGGCAGGGCUCCUUCUGGACCCUAGGGCAUGCCCACCCUUCUCUGCCCUUCUCUCAGCCUUGAUUCUGUUAUUUGAUGGUUGCUCUACUAGGCUGACUCACUUGAAGGCAAAGGCUGCUUCAGUCUCCUUUCUGGAUUCUUUUCCUUGUGGAAACCAGGCCUCUUUAAGCGGUCCAGGCUGGCCUUCAUCUCCUAGGCUCCAGAGAGCCUCCUGCUCUGUCUGGGACCAUGGUACAGCUAUCUCAUUGCUGCCACUGACUAUCUCUUUGCCUGGGACAUCGUCAGUAUCCAAGAAACACUCACAGCCUCUACUCUUCUGAACCUCCACGCCUCAAUAACAAAAACACGCCAAAGUAACCCCUGACACGCCCCGGGAAGGCAGCCACAGGUUCUAGCUCAUUAAGCAGCUCCUGUAUUAUGUCUCAAAGCACUCUGGUGUGUUCCUGUCAGAACUGUUGAUAAAAUUCAGAAACACUUGACAUUUGUAGUGAAGAUCACAGUAGGGCUGGUGGCUUAUGGUGGUAACUGCCAUCCCAAAUCCUGUGUCAAACAGGAUAGCUUAUAAUGAAAAGGAAAUUCAAUUUAACUGAUCUCUCACAAAAAAAAAAAAAAAAUCACAUUACUCAAAUUCUAGUAACACAAUUAGCACACAUGCAGAUGAGAAAACCCAGUCUUAAAUAUCCUCUCCACUAGGCUGGGGGAGGGAGCCAAUAUGCUGUAAUAUCCAAAUGUUCCAAGCACCUGGCACUUCCUGCUUCCCUGAACCCCUAGCCCAGCUGGCUCUAGUUUCAGAAAUAUCCUUAACGAGACCCACUGGGUGGACACGAGGGGAAAAUUAUCUGCAGAGAUAAGCAACAAGCCCAAGUCUCGGCAAGACUGCUCUCCACACGGACAGCGUCUCGUAAUUCUCGGAGCACAUCAGUAGUCAUCUGUUUGCUAUGCUCUGCCCCCAAGACAGUUAGAUCACCUCUCUGUCCCCACCACUUGACAGUGGGAAAGCCAUAGACGCCAAGUUCAUGUCUCAAGGUCACAGACCCGGUGAGGACAGAAGCAGAAGUCGAAAUCUGGUGUCCCAGCCCCCAGGAGUCUGCACCGUUCCCAUGCAACAUGCUUCUUUGGUUCCACCUGCUCCACUUCUCAGGGAAGGAAGGACAGGGCCGCAGGGGCAGCAGUCACAUUGGCAUGGAUGGGAAACCCCUCUUCUUCACAGUACAAAGCUCCCACUCUUCACUUCCCCGAUUUCCCAGCCCACAUAAGAGGCAACCGCAGGAAACGCAGAAGAUGCAGUACUCAUCGCAAUAGGGAGGAGGACACGCUACCCUUCCUAUUUCCUCUGAAUAUCACUGUUGUACUUCUCUACAGAACCACCUACAUCUCUCUUCCAGGGAAAUGCACCUGACCCAGAGACCCCACCGGCAGUGUUCCUUUACAUGGCAAAAAGGUUAAAAAGAAAGAAAAUACAGAAUUGGUUUUUAAGUAAUACGAUACCCUUAAUCAACCAGCAUUUUAAAAGUGCUUUUAAUAAAAGGAACCAUGGAGUUCAAGACCACGUAGCUUGACAGCUGAAAUGCAGAGUUCCGGUGUUGAAGUCACAGGCCAUGAAGUAGCUCUCAGGCAGGAAACCCUGACUCCAUGCCAGGGACAGGGCAGCUCCCGAGAAGCAUGGCAACUGCAGAGGCCUUGCACACAUAUUACACAUGCAUGUGACCAAAGAAAUAAUCAAUGUACACGAAGGCUUCUACACACACACAAGACAGUUUUCACAGCAUUACCAGCUACAGGGAUGAAACAGAAUCAACCUAGCCUCUGAGGAAUGGUUAAAUAAAUUACAACAUGUCCACAUGACCAAUGGCUGGAAACACCAACCUUCAGACUUCCAAUGAAUAUUUAAACCAAAAGGAGUCGCCUGUCCUUGUAGAAAGGGGAAGACACCCGGUACAUCUCUUUCUGAAGCAGACCUAGGUGGGGAGCAUCGGAAGAUGAGUGUUUUCUAGUUGAAGUCUGGCUUCUGUUCUUGCCCUUUGGAGGGCAGGUUCUCACUGUGUAGCCCUGGCUGGCAUGGAGUUCCCUAAGUAGAUGGUGAGUGGGAAGUAGGGUAGGGAGGCUGGAGUCAGACCCUCCUGCCUGCUCUGCCUCCCCAGUGCUGGGAUUAAAGCACCCUCCCCCCCCCCAGACCACCAUGCCCAGCUGUGGUGGUCUGAAUAUGCUCAGCUCAGGGAGUGGCACUAGAAGAAGGUGUGGCCUUGUUGGAGUAUGUGUGUCACUGUGGUAUGGGCUUUAAGACCCUCAUCCUAGCUGCCUGCAAGCCAGUCUUCUCCUAGAAGCCUCCAGAUGAAGAUGUAGAACUCUCAGGUCCUCCUGCACCAUGCCUGCCUGGAUGCUGCCAUGUUCGGACAUGAUAAUGAACUGAACACUGUAAGCCAGCCCCAAUUAAAUGUUGUCCUUAUAAGAGUUGCCUUGGCCAUGCUGUCUGCUCACAGCAGUAAAAACUAAGACACCAGCCUUUUCCUUCUUUUAUAAUAAAAGGGGUUUCUGAAAGGUGAAUAAAAGAAACAGGUAGGGUCUUGAACAGAGAUCAUGAGACCCAUACUUUCCCAGUGCUUAUGCUGCUUAUUUAAACUUCUUCAUUGAGAAAAAAAGUUACUACAAGUUGUCCUUGGAAGGGUUCUAAAGCAUACGUGUCAGUAACGUGGCGUAGAUUCAUACUGUACAACCACCACCAGGAUCAAUUCCCACAAGUUUUUUUUUUUUUUUUAAACACCUCAUACUGAAAUUCUACACUAUACCAGGCCAAUCCCUGCCUCCCUGGCCACCCUUCUCACUCUCUCUCUAUGGCUGUGGCUAGGGUAGGUAUCUCUAUUAGUGGAGUCUCAUAAUUAUAUUUGUGUUUGGCCUAUUUCACUUUACAAAAUGCAACACCCAUUAUAAUUUCCUUUAUUUGUAAGCCUAAAUAAUAGUGUGUGGUAUGUGGAUGGACGAAAACACAUGUAGAUCGUAUUUCACAUGCAUUUCCAAAAUACAUUUCAAACUUGAGCUGCAGUUUGAAAUUGCGUAUACAUUUUCAUAGACAAGUGGCUCCAAAUCUGCUCAUUCGGGGACUGAGCACACAUGUAUACAUGUUAUUCGUGUGAGCAGGUACAAGGACCGAUACUGGAUUCAGAAUAGCAACUGCUUCCAGUGCAAGUGUACACAAAAGGGCACCAGGAAACUUCCUGAGUGGAUAGGAUUGUUCUGGAGCCUGAUGGCUGUGGAUCUGCCCCAAAAGCAUGCAUUUGUCAAAUUGCAUGGAGUUAUAUGCUUAAGAGUUGUACGUUCCAUGUGUGCAUAAAUUACACGUCACUUUCUGAAGGAGAGAAAAGCAUUCUCCCCCGCCCCUCUGAAAGAAAAGGCAGAGUGAGGAGUUCUGAAGAAGAAUCUACAGUUCAGCCUCUGAUGCUUUCGGCUACCUUCACCUUGGGGGCUGGCAGUGGGUCUCUAGUACCCCUAAAUUUCAGCCCAGCGACCUUUUUCUUCACCGCAUAAGCGCAGUUUUGCCAAGGAAAAUCUGUUAAGCACACUGUGGGCUAACUACCCACACUGUUGCAACACCUGCCCAGGCUGAUUGGUAGGUUAGAGCGUGCUGCUCUCCUGCCCAGGAGCAGAAGUGAGGUGCGUCACCUUGCAAGUCGGGCUCCAAGACAGGUGUUCCUGAUGAUGCAAUGCUGGGUCUGAGGCCAUCCCCUGACCCAUGAACAAGUCUUAGGACAAUAGACUGUGAGGUCUGAAGAGAAGGGAAUAAUACCUUGGCCUUUAUUAUCAUGGCAUUGGACAUGGCUCAAAUCAUGAAGUGAUGAAUGCUACCUCUUUUCCUACUAACUCUGGCUACAUGAUGCCUUUGUAUGCAAUAUGUCUCCAUAGAUGACAAGUUUAGACCACACCUAGCCAGGACGAGUUUCCUGUUAAUCUAAGUAGUGAACCAUUCCUAAGUCAGACCUUUUUUUUUUUUUUUUUUUCCAAUUUGCUGUGUAAACUCUCUUCCACACUGCAGGACCCAGGG